CCGGAGCUAACGCGUUAAGUAGACCGCCUGGGGAGUACGGCCGCAAGGUUAAAACUCAAAUGAAUUGACGGGGGCCCGCACAAGCGGUGGAGCAUGUGGUUUAAUUCGAUGCAACGCGAAGAACCUUACCUGGUCUUGACAUCCACGGAAGGUCUCAGAGAUGAGACUGUGCCUUCGGGAACCGUGAGACAGGUGCUGCAUGGCUGUCGUCAGCUCGUGUUGUGAAAUGUUGGGUUAAGUCCCGCAACGAGCGCAACCCUUAUCCUUUGUUGCCAGCGGUCCGGCCGGGAACUCAAAGGAGACUGCCAGUGAUAAACUGGAGGAAGGUGGGGAUGACGUCAAGUCAUCAUGGCCCUUACGACCAGGGCUACACACGUGCUACAAUGGCGCAUACAAAGAGAAGCGACCUCGCGAGAGCAAGCGGACCUCAUAAAGUGCGUCGUAGUCCGGAUUGGAGUCUGCAACUCGACUCCAUGAAGUCGGAAUCGCUAGUAAUCGUGGAUCAGAAUGCCACGGUGAAUACGUUCCCGGGCCUUGUACACACCGCCCGUCACACCAUGGGAGUGGGUUGCAAAAGAAGUAGGUAGCUUAACCUUCGGGAGGGCGCUUACCACUUUGUGAUUCAUGACUGGGGUGAAGUCGUAACAAGGUAACCGUAGGGGAACCUG
RNAcentral lists this ribosomal RNA (668 nucleotides) under Salmonella enterica. RNAcentral's name for it is "bacterial SSU rRNA". It matches the Rfam family "Bacterial small subunit ribosomal RNA", at positions 846 to 1514 of the family's 1533-position model. Lineage: Bacteria; Pseudomonadati; Pseudomonadota; Gammaproteobacteria; Enterobacterales; Enterobacteriaceae. The record is from RNAcentral.